GUAUAGUUUUUAUAGGCACAACAUUCUAUUAACAUACAUUGGGGUAAAUGAAGAAGCAACAUAGACCAUGAAAAAAAUAUCCAGGGUCUACAAAAGGUGCACAGGUGGAGACAUAAAGAUGACAAGGUGUGCACAUGCUCCCUAGAGAACCAGCAACAACCCAUCAGGUUUAUUUCAAUAAUGAUCCUUCCGCAGGUUCACCUACGGAAA
Molecule: unclassified non-coding RNA, 210 nt
Filed under: uncultured fungus
Lineage: Eukaryota; Fungi
Description: sequence contains ITS1
Source: RNAcentral